UAACAGGCUGAUGACUCCCAAGCGUCCAUAGCGACGGAGUUGUUUGGCACCUCGAUGUCGACUCAUCGCAUCCUGGGGCUGGAGCAGGUCCCAAGGGUAUGGCUGUUCGCCAUUUAAAGCGGUACGUGAGUUGGGUUCAGAACGUCGUGAGACAGUUCGGUCCCUAUCUGCCGUGGGUGUAGGAAUAUUGAGAGGAUCUGUCCCUAGUACGAGAGGACCGGGAUGGACGUAUCUCUGGUGGACCUGUUGUGGCGCCAGCCGCAUAGCAGGGUAGCUAUAUACGGAACGGAUAACCGCUGAAGGCAUCUAAGCGGGAAACCGACCUCAAAACGAGUAUUCCCUGAGAGCCGUGGUAGACGACCACGUUGAUAGGCCGGGUGUGGAAGAGCGGCAACGCUUGAAGCUUACCGGUACUAAUAACUCGAUUGGCUUGAUUGUUCUCAUU
This 445-nucleotide ribosomal RNA is filed under the name Salmonella enterica subsp. enterica. Its description in RNAcentral is "partial 23S ribosomal RNA". It matches the Rfam family "Bacterial large subunit ribosomal RNA", at positions 2475 to 2925 of the family's 2925-position model. Lineage: Bacteria; Pseudomonadati; Pseudomonadota; Gammaproteobacteria; Enterobacterales; Enterobacteriaceae. The record is from RNAcentral.